Long non-coding RNA from Papaver somniferum (opium poppy), 339 nucleotides. RefSeq lists it as uncharacterized. Lineage: Eukaryota; Viridiplantae; Streptophyta; Magnoliopsida; Ranunculales; Papaveraceae. The transcript is spliced from 3 exons. The record is from RefSeq and is a predicted model, not a curated record.
UACAGGUUGAAUGCCUCCCUCGUCUCAAACAUAAAUUGUCUCUCUUGUAAUUGAUAGAGGUUAUUUGUUGAUGUUCAUCAAUUUUUUACUGAUAUUUUUUAUUGAUCUACGUUUUAGCUCUUACUAAAACGAAAACAAAUGGAUUUUCAUUUUACCAGCUUUUGGUGUUCUGUUCAGGUGUAAAAUCAGGUGAAGUUUACUUCAUUGAGCUUUAAGGGACUCAAGUUUUUCACUUCUAUUUUCGGAGGGAUGUUCAUGAAGUAGAUCUAUAAUCAGUACUCACUUUAGUAAUCUAAGAAUCAGAGCCGAAAAACAGAUUAAAUGGUAUUAGGUCGCAGC